Molecule: ribosomal RNA, 253 nt
Filed under: uncultured bacterium
Lineage: Bacteria
Description: partial 16S ribosomal RNA
Rfam family: Bacterial small subunit ribosomal RNA
Source: RNAcentral
UACGAAGGGGGCUAGCGUUGCUCGGAAUCACUGGGCGUAAAGCGCACGUAGGCGGCUUUUUAAGUCAGGGGUGAAAUCCUGGAGCUCAACUCCAGAACUGCCUUUGAUACUGGGAAGCUCGAGUCCGGGAGAGGUGAGUGGAACUCCGAGUGUAGAGGUGAAAUUCGUAGAUAUUCGGAAGAACACCAGUGGCGAAGGCGGCUUACUGGUCCGGUUCUGACGCUGAGGCGCGAAAGCGUGGGGAGCAAACAGG